Molecule: ribosomal RNA, 403 nt
Filed under: uncultured bacterium
Lineage: Bacteria
Description: partial 16S ribosomal RNA
Rfam family: Bacterial small subunit ribosomal RNA
Source: RNAcentral
AUUGAACGCUGGCGGCAGGCCUAACACAUGCAAGUCGAGCGCGGGGCGGACGGGUGAGAAAUGGAUGGGGACUGCCCGAUAGAGGGGGAUAACGGCAGGAAACGGUAGUUACUACCACGUACUAUCGGAUAACGCAUGUGGGAUUAGCUAGUGGGUGAGGUAAUGGCGCACCUAGGCGACGAUCCCUAGCUGGUCUGAGAGGAUGAUCAGCCACACUGGGACUGAGACACGGCCCAGACUCCUACGGAGGCAGCAGUGGGGAAUAUUGCACAAUGGGCGAAAGCCUGAUGCAGCCAUGCCGCGUGUAUGAAGAAGGCCCUAGGGUUGUAAAGUACUUUCAGUCGGGAGGCGUUACCGACAGAAGAAGCACCGGCUAACUCCGUGCCAGCAGCCGCGGUAAUAC